Molecule: transfer RNA, 61 nt
Filed under: pig gut metagenome
Rfam family: tRNA
About the family: Transfer RNA (tRNA) molecules are approximately 80 nucleotides in length. Their secondary structure includes four short double-helical elements and three loops (D, anti-codon, and T loops).
Source: RNAcentral
AGCUCAGUCGGUUAGAGCACUUGACUGUUAAUCAAGGGGUCCUAGGUUCAAGUCCCAGUUG